AUGACAAAAAUGCUUGCCGAAGUGCUGGUGGUUGUCAAUGAACUGUCAAGGGAUGUGCAGUUCAUCAAGGGUGAAUUGGCAGAGGCUAGAAUGACCCCAUCUUGUGGACCAGGGCCAGCCACAAGCCAAGAGAUGUUCCCCAUCCAGCUGCCGAUCACCAACGAAGAAGACUUCAAUGAGGCCGAAACGUUGUUGGGAACUGAGCCAGUCCGACAAAAGAUGAUUGCCCGCUUGGCCUUGGUGGGAGGCACUAGCUCCACAUGUAUGGUAAGGAGGAUGCUUGCAACGGUUUUGACCAACGGCCUGGCCUGCAAGUUCAAUUGGGCAGGAAAAACCUGCACACACACCUGAAGGGAUGCAAAGCAGCCCUUCAAAGACACAGCCCUGCAAGACUGCAUGUUUGUUGCUUCUCGGCAGUGUGACCGCAAACUCACACAGCAGGCCUUCAGCGACAUUGUGAAACAUUGGCUACGUUACGCCCCUUGGCGUGCAGGAGGCAUCAACAAAAAUGUCCUCUUCAUAUGGGCUAUGGCCCUUGUUGGUCUGUGAUUACACAUGUGAUUACACUAAUUCGCCUUUUCUUGUUGGUAUCUUUUGUGGUGAAGGCAAGCCAAAGAUUCUUUCAGUACCUUCAACAAUUUGAUUAUUUAAUUUGUUUUUUCUAAUAAAUGUUUUUAUCACUAAAAUCUAAAUGAA
Long non-coding RNA from Gadus morhua (Atlantic cod), 696 nucleotides. RefSeq lists it as uncharacterized. The transcript has 4 exons. Lineage: Eukaryota; Metazoa; Chordata; Actinopteri; Gadiformes; Gadidae. The record is from RefSeq and is a predicted model, not a curated record.